UAGAAGCUGCAUGAGAGUUACUCACAUUGUUUCCUAAAUACAUAUUGAUCCUUACCUCUUCCAGCUCAUACAAAUGCAUGGACACAUGCCUACCCUGGAAUUAAAGUGACCCCAAGAUGGCCAGAUACUCAGAAAGUUCCCAUUGGAUCUAUUCUGGUGCCUGAAACUUGGAAAAUUUGACACGCCAUGCUUAUUGAUUUGGAAAUAGAUAUUGUGAAGCUAGCCCUCAAGAUGUGAAUUCAACUUUCAUUCAAGUCUAACUCUCCCAGAUUGACC
Molecule: long non-coding RNA, 276 nt
Organism: Pan paniscus (pygmy chimpanzee)
Lineage: Eukaryota; Metazoa; Chordata; Mammalia; Primates; Hominidae
Source: Ensembl